GAUGAAGAACGUAGCGAAAUGCGAUAAGUAAUGUGAAUUGCAGAAUUCAGUGAAUCAUCGAAUCUUUGAACGCACAUUGCUCCCGCCAGUAUUCUGGCGGGCAUGCCUGUUCGAGCGUCAUUUCAACCAUCAAGCCCUGCUUGCGUUGGGGUCCUGCGGCUGCCCGCAGGCCCUGAAAACCAGUGGCGGGCUCGCUAGUCACACCGAGCGCAGUAAUACAUCUCGCUUUGGGCGUGCGGCGGGUUCUUGCCGUUAAACACCCCCUUUUUACCAAGGUUGACCUCGGAUCAGGUAGGAAUACCCGCUGAACUUAAGCAUAUCAAUAAGCGGAGGA
This 334-nucleotide unclassified non-coding RNA is filed under the name soil metagenome. RNAcentral's name for it is "partial contains 5.8S ribosomal RNA, internal transcribed spacer 2, and large subunit ribosomal RNA". The stretch from base 1 to 120 matches the Rfam family "5.8S ribosomal RNA", at positions 35 to 154 of the family's 154-position model. The record is from RNAcentral.